This 273-nucleotide long non-coding RNA is filed under the name Brassica napus (rape). Its description in RNAcentral is "long non-coding RNA (BNAP_LNC023694)". The record is from RNAcentral. Lineage: Eukaryota; Viridiplantae; Streptophyta; Magnoliopsida; Brassicales; Brassicaceae.
UUUAAUGUAUCUCUGAGUCCUCCUGACACCUUACACUGUGCGCACGGUGUGAAAUGGAAGCAACCAGAUGAAGAAAUAGAAUUUGUUUUCUUGAGUUUAAGAAGAAGAAAACAACUAACGGAAGCUGAAGUCACCACUCCACUUAUCCGUCCCUACCCCAUCUCCUAUCGCCUUUAACAGUUUCUUCUUUCGUCUCCUAUCUCUCUUUCUUUUUUCACAUCUCUUUUUUUUUUUGCUAAAAUUCUUUUUCACAUCUCACGAAAACACAACACG